This is a long non-coding RNA of Hyla sarda, 338 nucleotides long. RefSeq lists it as uncharacterized. The transcript is spliced from 3 exons. Lineage: Eukaryota; Metazoa; Chordata; Amphibia; Anura; Hylidae. The record is from RefSeq and is a predicted model, not a curated record.
CUCCCCCAUAGUGUCUAUUAUUAAGAUGUCAGUGUUGCCGAGAGUCUUAUAUUUCUUGAAUGCAUCCCCGAUGUGGAUUUCAUCUACCUGGUUUAGAAGACUGAAGGAGCCCUGCUCUGAAUGAGCUUGUAUUGAACCUGCGGCUUGUGUUCUGAAGUGUGACUGAGAGCUUAAGUGUGAAUUUUUAGAAGUUUUAAAAGCAGAAGCUUAAAAAAGCAGGAGUUGGAAGCAGGAGCCUAAAGUAACUGAUCAGACUCUGCUGACAAAGUGAGGAGCCAAUGCCGUCUGGUCUACUGAGAGAAGACUGGUCUACUGAGAGAAGAUUUAGCUGGAUGAAG